GUCCACGCCGUAAACUAUGAGAGCUAGCCGUUGGGGGAUUUAUCCCUCAGUGGCGCAGCUAACGCUUUAAGCUCUCCGCCUGGGGAGUACGGUCGCAAGAUUAAAACUCAAAGGAAUUGACGGGGGCCCCGCACAAGCGGUGGAGCAUGUGGUUUAAUUCGAAGCAACGCGAAGAACCUUACCAGCCCUUGACAUGGCAGGACGGGGUCCAGAGAUGGGCUCUUUCACUUCGGUGACUUGCACACAGGUGCUGCAUGGCUGUCGU
Molecule: ribosomal RNA, 265 nt
Filed under: uncultured bacterium
Lineage: Bacteria
Description: partial 16S ribosomal RNA
Rfam family: Bacterial small subunit ribosomal RNA
Source: RNAcentral